UAACAAGGUCUUGAACCUUGGUCUUUAGGGGAUAACAGUUCUCCACAUCAUGUCUGGGAGCACCAGAAUGAUAAACACAGUGAAGCUCGGGCUUGUACCACCAUUGAGGGUUGGCCGGUAUAGCAGGUGGGUCACGUGGAGUGAUCAGCUUUCUGUCUAUCAAUGACGGAUAGAGCUCAACAUAGGUCAUUGGAUGUGGAUCAAAAGUGAAUCUUCCUAUCAUAGCUAGUGUUGG
RNAcentral lists this long non-coding RNA (235 nucleotides) under Lathyrus oleraceus (garden pea). RNAcentral's name for it is "Pisum sativum (pea) long non-coding RNA (PSAT_LNC038353)". The record is from RNAcentral. Lineage: Eukaryota; Viridiplantae; Streptophyta; Magnoliopsida; Fabales; Fabaceae.